This 253-nucleotide ribosomal RNA is filed under the name uncultured bacterium. RNAcentral's name for it is "partial 16S ribosomal RNA". It matches the Rfam family "Bacterial small subunit ribosomal RNA", at positions 524 to 776 of the family's 1533-position model. The record is from RNAcentral.
UACGUAGGGGGCUAGCGUUGUCCGGAAUCAUUGGGCGUAAAGAGCGUGUAGGCGGCCCGGUAAGUCCGCUGUAAAAGUCAAAGGCUCAACCUUUGAAUGUCAGUGGAUACUGCCGGGCUAGAGUCCGGAAGAGGCGAGUGGAACUCCCGGUGUAGCGGUGGAAUGCGCAGAUAUCAGGAAGAACACCCGUGGCGAAGGCGGCUCUCUGGGACGGUACUGACGCUGAGACGCGAAAGCGUGGGGAGCGAACAGG